Molecule: ribosomal RNA, 870 nt
Filed under: uncultured bacterium
Lineage: Bacteria
Description: bacterial SSU rRNA
Rfam family: Bacterial small subunit ribosomal RNA
Source: RNAcentral
AGAGUUUGAUCCUGGCUCAGGAUGAACGCUGGCGGUAUGCCUAACACAUGCAAGUCGUACGAGGGUUUUUAACUCUAGUGGCGGACGGGUGAGUAACACGUGAGAAUUUGCCUUUAGGAGGGGGAUAACAAUCGGAAACGAAUGCUAAUACCCCAUAUGCUUUUGAGUGAAAUGGAUUUAUCCGCCUAAAGAGAAGCUCGCGGCUGAUUAGCUUGUUGGUAAGGUAAGAGCUUACCAAGGCGACGAUCAGUAUCUGGUUUGAGAGGACGAUCAGACACACUGGAACUGAGACACGGUCCAGACUCCUACGGGAGGCAGCAGUGGGGAAUUUUCCGCAAUGGGCGAAAGCCUGACGGAGCAAUACCGCGUGAGGGAAGACUGCCUAUGGGUUGUAAACCUCUUUUUUCAGGGAGGAAUAAAAUGACGUGUACCUGAAGAAUAAGCAUCGGCUAACUCCGUGCCAGCAGCCGCGGUAAGACGGAGGAUGCAUGUGUUAUCCGGAAUCACUGGGCGUAAAGCGUCUGUAGGUGGUUUAAUAAGUCAACUGUUAAAUCUUGAGGCUCAACUUCAAAAUCGCAGUCGAAACUAUUAGACUAGAGUAUAGUAGAGGUAAAGGGAAUUUCCAGUGGAGCGGUGAAAUGCGUAGAUAUUGGAAAGAACACCGAUGGCGAAAGUACUUUACUGGGCUAUUACUAACACUCAGAGACGAAAGCUAGGGUAGCAAAUGGGAUUAGAUACCCCAGUAGUCCUAGCCGUAAACUAUGGAUACUAGAUGUUGAACAGAUCGACCUGUGCAGUAUCAAAGCUAACGCGUUAAGUAUCCCGCCUGGGAAGUAUGCUCGCAAGAGUGAAACUCAAAGGAAUUGACGG